AGCGAACGCUGGCGGCAGGCCUAACACAUGCAAGUCGAACGGAACCUUCGGGAUUAGUGGCGGACGGGUGAGUAACACGUGGGAACGUGCCCUUUGGUUCGGAACAACUCAGGGAAACUUGAGCUAAUACCGGAUGUGCUCUUCGGGGGAAAGAUUUACCGCCAGGGGAUCGGCCCGCGUCUGAUUCGCUUGUUGGUGAGGUAACGGCGUACCAAGGCGUCGACGGGUAGCUGGUCUGUGAGGAUGACCGGCCAAACUGGGACUGAGACACGGCCCAGACUCCUACGGGAGGCAGCAGUGGGGAAUAUUGCACAAUGGGCGGAAGCCGGAUGCAGCAACGCCGCGUGCGGGAUGACGGCCUUCGGGUUGUAAACCGCUUUCGCCUGUGACGAAGCGUGAGUGACGGUAAUGGGUAAAGAAGCACCGGCUAACUACGUG
RNAcentral lists this ribosomal RNA (438 nucleotides) under uncultured bacterium. RNAcentral's name for it is "partial 16S ribosomal RNA". It matches the Rfam family "Bacterial small subunit ribosomal RNA", at positions 28 to 507 of the family's 1533-position model. The record is from RNAcentral.